GUGCUGGAGCAAGAAGAUCUCAAGCUGUGACUCUCCAGAGGGAUGCACUUUCUCUUAUGUGAAAAAAAAGAAGGCGCUUCCCUUUAGAGCGUUACGGUUUGGGUAAAGCAACUCUGAAG
Non-coding RNA from Gorilla gorilla gorilla (western lowland gorilla), 119 nucleotides. RefSeq annotates it as microRNA mir-525. The record is from RefSeq and is marked provisional. The transcript has a single exon. Lineage: Eukaryota; Metazoa; Chordata; Mammalia; Primates; Hominidae.